Long non-coding RNA from Dioscorea cayenensis subsp. rotundata (Guinea yam), 1369 nucleotides. RefSeq lists it as uncharacterized. Lineage: Eukaryota; Viridiplantae; Streptophyta; Magnoliopsida; Dioscoreales; Dioscoreaceae. The record is from RefSeq and is a predicted model, not a curated record. The transcript is spliced from 2 exons.
ACCAAGCACAUAUUCCUCAAGAGGCAGCUGUCAAAAACCCUGGCAUGCUUUGGCUACUAAAAUCAAGAGUAACAAAACCUCCUCAAGACCUUUGAAAUCACUGUUAAGAAGCCCGAGGCCGAGAUUAAAAACAAGAACGUCAACAUCUACUUCCUUCAAGAGUGCCUCUUUCAUUCUGAGUAGUGGUGAUGACGCAAUGGCUUCCUCUCCUCUGCCUUCCCUCCACUGGAUUGGCCUUCGGAUGAAUCCAUGCCAGUGAGCUCUGACGUUGAGGAUUCGGAGGUGACGCUUGUCAAAAAUAAUUGAGGGUUUGGAGAUGAAAGUGGUUUGUAUAUGUUAGGGAAUGUAUUGUUAGUCUUUUUCGUAUUCUUUUGAAUCUUGGAAAAAGAUGAUGGAGAGCAUAUCAUGUGGUGAUAUAAAGAUUGAAAUUCUUCAAAGUGGUUCCCUUUUUUUAAUAUGCAAUUACUAAGUUAAUUUGUGUGGGUUUUCUUUGAAGCUUCUUUGUAUUCAUAUUUUUGAAAUUAUAUUUUUUUGAAAUUAUUUUGGAGUUUCAUCAAAUAGUUGGUGUGUGAGAUGGAAUUCGCCAAUCAAGACCUCCACGCUGUGGCCAGCUCAAUCCACUCAGACAUUCUUCGCCACGAUUUUUUUGCCUUUAAGUCUUAUGUUUGCUUUAUCAUGUUCUCCAAUUUCCAUCCUCGUGAUUUCGGCCUUUGUGGGCAGCAAGAUCGUCUAUCCUAGGAUUGGUGAUGCCUUUGACAAAUUCUCCUCAUCAAUGCAUUGGAGCUGGAAUCAACUCCUCGAUCGGAGCUCCAACAUGUCUAGGCUUAUCAGAGUAAAAUAUCUCGGUGUGGUUCAUCUGAAGAUAACCUAAAAAAAUAUCUCUUAUGAGACAGAUGACUAGGGAGAAUGUUUUGUUCAUGUGAGGUAUGAGAUUAGAGAGAAGAAGAGCUCAAGGCAAGUACUACUUUCUUUCAAAUUUUUUUUAUUUGUUUAUUUUUAAUUUUUUUCUAUUAAAUUUUGGUUCAAGAUUUGAUUUUGUUGAUUUUUUUUUCAUAUGUAUUAUUAGAUUGGAGAGAAGAAAGCUCAUAUAAUUUUUUUUCCAUUUAAAUAUAUUUGCUUGAAGUUUGAUUUAAGAUUUGAGGUUGUUGUUUUUUAGGUUUUGCUUUUAAAUGUAGAGGAGAAUAAGAUUGGCAUUUAUUUGUGGGGGAGGGAAGCUAUGUGUGGAGAGGGAUUCAUAUUUUAUUUGAUUAGAAAUUAGCUUUGCAGUAUUUUUUUAUUCAAUAUUUUGUCAAUUAUCGCAAUGUUGGAAUUCUCUCUUCUAAUGCACGUGUAAAACUUUGACAUCUUGCAAUAAACCUUUUUUUUUGCA